AUCACUUCUCAGCCUUUUGGCUAAGAUUAAGUGUAGUAUCUGUUCGUAUCAGUUUAAUAUCUGAUACAUCCUCUAUCCAAGGACUAAAAAAAACCACCAAAAUAUUUGCAAAUGAAUAGCUUCU
Molecule: small nuclear RNA, 124 nt
Organism: Oryctolagus cuniculus (rabbit)
Lineage: Eukaryota; Metazoa; Chordata; Mammalia; Lagomorpha; Leporidae
Gene: U2
Rfam family: U2 spliceosomal RNA
About the family: U2 is a small nuclear RNA (snRNA) component of the spliceosome (involved in pre-mRNA splicing). Complementary binding between U2 snRNA (in an area lying towards the 5' end but 3' to hairpin I) and the branchpoint sequence (BPS) of the intron results the bulging out of an unpaired adenosine, on the BPS, which initiates a nucleophilic attack at the intronic 5' splice site, thus starting the first of two transesterification reactions that mediate splicing.
Source: Ensembl